GGUUAAGUGACUAAGCGUACACGGUGGAUGCCUUGGCAGUCAGAGGCGAUGAAAGACGUAGUAACUUGCGAUAAGCCCAGAUUAGGUAGUAACAACCAUUUGAGUCUGGGAUUUCUGAAUGGGGAAACCCACUUACAUAAGUAAGUAUCAUUAACUGAAUACAUAGGUUAAUGAGGCGAACCGGGGGAACUGAAACAUCUAAGUACCCCGAGGAAAAGAAAUCAACCGAGAUUCCGAAAGUAGCGGCGAGCGAAAUUGGACUAGCCCUUAAGCUUUACACGCGUUAGACGAACGGUCUGGAAAGUCCGACGAUACAGGGUGAUAGUCCCGUAGUUGACGACGUGUGUUCAGUGAAAUCGAGUAGGGCGGGACACGUGAUAUCCUGUCUGAAUAUGGGGGGACCAUCCUCCAAGGCUAAAUACUACUGACUGACCGAUAGUGAACCAGUACCGUGAGGGAAAGGCGAAAAGAACCCCUGUGAGGGGAGUGAAAUAGAACCUGAAACCGUGUACGUACAAGCAGUAGGAGCAGGCUUUGUCCUGUGACUGCGUACCUUUUGUAUAAUGGGUCAGCGACUUAUAUUCAGUGGCAAGGUUAACCAUCUAGGGGAGCCGUAGGGAAACCGAGUCUUAACUGGGCGUUCAGUCUCUGGAUAUAGACCCGAAACCAGGUGAUCUAGCCAUGGGCAGGUUGAAGGUUGAGUAACAUCAACUGGAGGACCGAACCGACUAAUGUUGAAAAAUUAGCGGAUGACUUGUGGCUAGGGGUGAAAGGCCAAUCAAACCUGGAGAUAGCUGGUUCUCCCCGAAAGCUAUUUAGGUAGCGCCUCGGACGAAUACUACUGGGGGUAGAGCACUGUUAAGGCUAGGGGGUCAUCCCGACUUACCAACCCUUUGCAAACUCCGAAUACCAGUAAGUACUAUCCGGGAGACACACGGCGGGUGCUAACGUCCGUCGUGGAGAGGGAAACAACCCAGACCGCCAGCUAAGGUCCCAAAUUACUACUAAGUGGGAAACGAUGUGGGAAGGCUCAGACAGCCAGGAUGUUGGCUUAGAAGCAGCCAUCAUUUAAAGAAAGCGUAAUAGCUCACUGGUCGAGUCGGCCUGCGCGGAAGAUGUAACGGGGCUAAGUAGUAAACCGAAGCUGCGGCAAUGUGCUUUUGCACAUUGGGUAGGGGAGCGUUCUGUAAGCGGUUGAAGGUGUGUGGUAACGCAUGCUGGACGUAUCAGAAGUGCGAAUGCUGACAUGAGUAACGAUAAAGGGGGUGAAAAACCUCCUCGCCGGAAGACCAAGGGUUCCUGUCCAACGUUAAUCGGGGCAGGGUAAGUCGACCCCUAAGGCGAGGCCGAAAGGCGUAGUCGAUGGGAAACGGGUUAAUAUUCCCGUACUUCUUACAAUUGCGAUGGGGGGACGGAGAAGGCUAGGUGGGCCUGGCGACGGUUGUCCAGGUUCAAGUGCGUAGGCUUAAGAGUUAGGUAAAUCCGGCUCUUUUUAAGGCUGAGACACGACGUCGAGCACCUACGGGUGUGAAGUCAUUGAUGCCAUGCUUCCAGGAAAAGCCUCUAAGCUUCAGAUUGUAAGGAAUCGUACCCCAAACCGACACAGGUGGUCGGGUAGAGAAUACCAAGGCGCUUGAGAGAACUCGGGUGAAGGAACUAGGCAAAAUGGUACCGUAACUUCGGGAGAAGGUACGCUCUUGAUGGUGAAGUCCCUCGCGGAUGGAGCUGACGAGAGUCGCAGAUACCAGGUGGCUGCAACUGUUUAUUAAAAACACAGCACUGUGCAAAAUCGUAAGAUGACGUAUACGGUGUGACGCCUGCCCGGUGCCGGAAGGUUAAUUGAUGGGGUUAGACUUCGGUCGAAGCUCUUGAUCGAAGCCCCGGUAAACGGCGGCCGUAACUAUAACGGUCCUAAGGUAGCGAAAUUCCUUGUCGGGUAAGUUCCGACCUGCACGAAUGGCGUAAUGAUGGCCACGCUGUCUCCACCCGAGACUCAGUGAAAUUGAAAUCGCUGUGAAGAUGCAGUGUACCCGCGGCUAGACGGAAAGACCCCGUGAACCUUUACUACAGCUUGGCACUGAACAUUGACCCUACAUGUGUAGGAUAGGUGGGAGGCUUUGAAGCAGGUACGCCAGUAUCUGUGGAGCCGUCCUUGAAAUACCACCCUUGUAGUGUUGAUGUUCUAACGUCGACCCCUUAUCGGGGUUGCGGACAGUGCCUGGUGGGUAGUUUGACUGGGGCGGUCUCCUCCCAAAGAGUAACGGAGGAGCACGAAGGUGGGCUAAUCACGGUUGGACAUCGUGAGGUUAGUGCAAUGGCAUAAGCCCGCUUGACUGCGAGAAUGACAAUUCGAGCAGGUGCGAAAGCAGGUCAUAGUGAUCCGGUGGUUCUGAAUGGAAGGGCCAUCGCUCAACGGAUAAAAGGUACUCCGGGGAUAACAGGCUGAUACCGCCCAAGAGUUCAUAUCGACGGCGGUGUUUGGCACCUCGAUGUCGGCUCAUCACAUCCUGGGGCUGAAGUCGGUCCCAAGGGUAUGGCUGUUCGCCAUUUAAAGUGGUACGCGAGCUGGGUUUAGAACGUCGUGAGACAGUUCGGUCCCUAUCUGCCGUGGGCGUUGGAAGAUUGAAGGGGGCUGCUCCUAGAAUCGAGAGGACCGGAGUGGACGAACCUCUGGUGUUCGGGUUGUGUCGCCAGACGCAUUGCCCGGUAGCUAAGUUCGGAAUCGAUAACCGCUGAAAGCAUCUAAGCGGGAAGCGAGCCCUGAGAUGAGUCUUCCCUGAUACUUUAAGUAUCCUAAAGGGUUGUCGGAGACUACGACGUUGAUAGGUCAGGUGUGUAAGUGCUGUGAGGCAUUGAGCUAACUGAUACUAAUUGCCCGUGAGGCUUAACCAU
RNAcentral lists this ribosomal RNA (2892 nucleotides) under Vibrio parahaemolyticus. Its description in RNAcentral is "23S ribosomal RNA". It matches the Rfam family "Bacterial large subunit ribosomal RNA". The record is from RNAcentral. Lineage: Bacteria; Pseudomonadati; Pseudomonadota; Gammaproteobacteria; Vibrionales; Vibrionaceae.